RNAcentral lists this long non-coding RNA (628 nucleotides) under Homo sapiens (human). RNAcentral describes it as "long independently transcribed non-coding RNA 2848, transcript variant 8 (LINC02848)". The record is from RNAcentral. Lineage: Eukaryota; Metazoa; Chordata; Mammalia; Primates; Hominidae.
UGGGCCUUGCAGCCAGCUCGGGGUCCAAGGGGCACUCCUGCGGUGCUGCAAAGGAGGAUUUGUGACAACCCAGAGGAUGGAGGAAACGGCGGCUUUGAAAAGGUUUGUGAGCAGCCCCCGGUCCCCUGCCGCUCCGUGAGAAAUCAAACUUCAGGCACUGACGAAGCAUGAAGCCAGCAUCUUAGGAAGAGGUAGUGACAUAAUUACAAGAGAAAUUAAUGUUAUGACUGGAUGAAGACAAUUGUGAAGAAACUGCACUUUGAGGUUGUCUAUCUCUGUAUUCUGAUGGAAAAGCGUGGAGUUUAGAAGCACUGCUCACUCCUUCAGUUUCUAACAAGUUUGAGACUAUGGUUAGGUGGUGAGGAAGGCAGGCUCAGCACCCAAGCCUUGGGGAGACGCAGAAAGGGCCCAUCCCAGGCACUCAGGUGGAGGUGGUCUGUCCUAGAGAACGUUCCAUGUGGAUUUGAGAAGAAUAUAUAUUCUCAUGUUGGAUGCAGUGCUGUGCAUAUGUUUGUUAGGUUUAGUUGUUUUAUGUUGUUGUUCAUGUUUUCUAUUUUUUAUCUUCUGUCUACUUGUUCUAUCCAUUAAUAUAAGUGAAGCAUUAAAGUCUCCAACUAUUACUGUUGAA